CCCUUAGAUGUUCUGGGCCGCACGCGCGCUACACUGACGAAUGCAACGAGCUUAUAACCUUGGCCGAAAGGUCUGGGUAAUCUCCAAAUUUCGUCGUGAUGGGGAUAGAUUAUUGCAAUUAUUAAUCUUCAACGAGGAAUGCCUAGUAAGCGCAAGUCAUCAGCUUGCGUUGAUUACGUCCCUGCCCUUUGUACACACCGCCCGUCGCUCCUACCGAUUGAAUGGUCCGGUGAAGCGUUCGGACCGUGGCCUUUGGACGGUUCGCCGUCUGUUGGCUGCGGGAAGUUCAUUAAACCUUAUCAUUUAGAGGAAGGAGAANUCGUANCA
RNAcentral lists this ribosomal RNA (327 nucleotides) under uncultured eukaryote. RNAcentral's name for it is "partial 18S ribosomal RNA". It matches the Rfam family "Eukaryotic small subunit ribosomal RNA", at positions 1470 to 1796 of the family's 1831-position model. The record is from RNAcentral.